CCUACGGGAGGCAGCAGUGGGGAAUUUUGGACAAUGGGGGCAACCCUGAUCCAGCCAUGCCGCGUGCGGGAAGAAGGCCUUCGGGUUGUAAACCGCUUUUGUCAGGGAAGAAAUCCUUUGAACUAAUACUUCGGAGGGAUGACGGUACCUGAAGAAUAAGCACCGGCUAACUACGUGCCAGCAGCCGCGGUAAUACGCAGGGUGCAAGCGUUAAUCGGAAUUACUGGGCGUAAAGCGUGCGCAGGCGGUUAUGCAAGACAGAUGUGAAAUCCCCGGGCUCAACCUGGGAACUGCAUUUGUGACUGCAUAGCUAGAGUACGGUANAGGGGGAUGGAAUUCCACGUGUAGCAGUGAAAUGCGUAGAUAUGUGGAGGAACACCGAUGGNGAG
RNAcentral lists this ribosomal RNA (389 nucleotides) under uncultured bacterium. RNAcentral's name for it is "bacterial SSU rRNA". It matches the Rfam family "Bacterial small subunit ribosomal RNA", at positions 338 to 719 of the family's 1533-position model. The record is from RNAcentral.